ACUGAACCUUGAAAUUGGUUUCGGGUUUUAUUUGCGCAGCAUAGGUGGGAGGCUGGGACGUUAAUCUUACGGGAUUAAUCGAGCUGUCAGUGAGAUACCACUCUUAUAAAACUAGAACUCUAACCUUGUAUCGUUAGCCGAUCAGGGAACAGUUUCAGGCGGGCAGUUUGACUGGGGCGGUCGCCUCCUAAAAGGUAACGGAGGCGUACAAAGGUUUCCUCAGAUCGGUCAGAAAUCGAUCGAAGAGUGUAAAGGCAAAAGGAAGCUUGACUGUGAGACUUACAAGUCGAACAGAGACGAAAGUCGGUCUUAUUGAUCUGGCGAUAUUGAGUGGAAAAGUCGUCACUCCACGGAUAAAAGUUACUCUUCGGAUAACAGGCUGAA
Molecule: ribosomal RNA, 384 nt
Filed under: Sargassum weizhouense
Lineage: Eukaryota; Phaeophyceae; Fucales; Sargassaceae
Description: partial large subunit ribosomal RNA
Rfam family: Bacterial large subunit ribosomal RNA
Source: RNAcentral